UUUUAAAGUAUUACCCUCUAAUUUAUACUGUGUGUCUGUAUAAGAGACAAUCCAUCUUAAUUUUCCAGGUCCAGGUUGGCUUUGGCUGAAGUUUUAAAGGACUUUGGAUUAAUAUCAGGACUAUUCAACAUUACCGUUCAACUAUCAAGACGGGAAAAGAAUAUGAAAAUGGCAAAUUGAUUUGUAUUCUGGUUCGGCAGGCGAAGAGGAGUGGAUGAUGGAACAGAAGCUUCAACACCAGUACGGUACAAAUGGUAGUACUGGUGAACGGUAUCGUACAUUUAUUAAUUGCACGUUAAGGCCAUAAGUGGUGAGUCUCGAGCGUGGGCCAACUAUGUUGGUUAGAAUAGUUGCACUUCGUGUAUUGUAUCAUUUUAUCACUCGCGCCGUAUUUUUCUUGACUAUACCCGAAGAGGCUCACCAUAAAACAAAAUACGUUCGCGGCGUUGCUGGGUUUAGGUUAUUGUUUCAAAUAGGACAUAGCUCCAAAACAAAGUAACAGUUUGUUCGUUAAAUCGUUUUACCCACACGCGCAAUAACAUUAGGAUUUAGCAUUUCUUCACUUAUAUUUCAUUCCUCGCGUGCUUUCGAUUUCCCUGUACAGAUACGUUUAUUAGACUUGUUUUCAGCAUUUGAGGCAUAUCGUCAACCCAGCAGCGUUGUAUAAAACACAUUUACACACACAAAAAUCAAAAUUAAACACAAAAAAAAACACUGCUGACUUGCCCGUACCUUGUCGUGUGGUGCAGUGGCGACUGGUCGUCGGUGAAAUUUUAAGUAAGCGUGUUCAUGAACAAGGGGAGUUCUUUUGACAUACACACAUGCAUCUUCCAGCUAUCAAGCAAUCCGUCUUAAUAUGAAGAAAAAGAAACUUAUUUAUUUUGUAUUUGUCUAACAGAAAUGGAAAGUUACUGUUAUUU
Molecule: non-coding RNA, 920 nt
Organism: Ciona intestinalis (vase tunicate)
Lineage: Eukaryota; Metazoa; Chordata; Ascidiacea; Phlebobranchia; Cionidae
Source: RefSeq, a predicted model, not a curated record